AGAUUGAACGCUGGCGGAAUGCCUUACACAUGCAAGUCGAACGGCAGCACGGGAGCAAUCCUGGUGGCGAGUGGCGAACGGGUGAGUAAUACAUCGGAACGUGCCCAAUCGUGGGGGAUAACGUAGCGAAAGCUACGCUAAUACCGCAUACGAUCUACGGAUGAAAGCAGGGGAUCGCAAGACCUUGCGCGAAUGGAGCGGCCGAUGGCAGAUUAGGUAGUUGGUGGGGUAAAGGCUCACCAAAGCCUUCGAUCUGUAGCUGGUCUGAGAGGACGACCAGCCGCACUGGGACUGAGACACGGCCCAGACUCCUACGGGAGGCAGCAGUGGGGAAUUUUGGACAAUGGGCGCAAGCCUGAUCCAGCCAUUCCGCGUGCAGGAUGAAGGCCUU
This 391-nucleotide ribosomal RNA is filed under the name uncultured soil bacterium. Its description in RNAcentral is "bacterial SSU rRNA". It matches the Rfam family "Bacterial small subunit ribosomal RNA", at positions 26 to 418 of the family's 1533-position model. The record is from RNAcentral.